CAGGUCACGUGGAGCAAGAUCAGAAUCCCCAUAAGUCCUCUGUGGGUCAAUACGAGGAACUGUGAAAGUGAAGCCAAAGCUGUAAUGGAGACCCAGAAAGGUAGAGGUGCCAGGAACAUGGAAUGCCGGGUGAUGGAUUCAACAAGGCAUGAGAAACUUUCCAGAGAGAGAGAGGCUGUGGAUUCAUAGCUGAGUUGCCUUGAGUCUCAGAAGAGACUUUGGAGUUCAACCUUUGAGCAACACUGGAACAGUUAACACAAUGGAAAUUCUGGGAGAUUGUGCAUUGGAAGUAAUCACAUUUUGAAUUACUGACAGAAUCAAAGCUCUGUCAUCUAUCAGAACUACAUGAAUAUUAAAUCAGAAGCCCAGCGUGAUGGUGCAGGCCGGGAAUCCUAGCAAUCUGGGAGUCUGAGUGCUAUGUGAGGAUAAAAUGAAGAAGUCAUCACAUCCAAACCAAAAAGUUGGCUUCCACUGUACAUCACCUCUGUAGACACUUGAUUGUGGACUCCUAGCUUCCAGAUCUGUGAUAAACACGUCUUCAAAUAAUCUUCCAGAAAAGAUUUCAAACUCAUUACUCUUAAUCCUAACUUGGAAUCAACAUGCACAUAAGGUAUUCUCAAAAAAAUCAAGUAGUUCCAACACCAAAUUUCCCAGUGAGGAAAGGGAUGCAUUCCUCAGCACUGAGACAAGUAGAACUCUCAUGAAAUAAAAAUAUUA
Long non-coding RNA from Fukomys damarensis (Damara mole-rat), 717 nucleotides. RefSeq lists it as uncharacterized. The transcript has 4 exons. The record is from RefSeq and is a predicted model, not a curated record. Lineage: Eukaryota; Metazoa; Chordata; Mammalia; Rodentia; Bathyergidae.